GAUGAACGCUAGCUACAGGCUUAACACAUGCAAGUCGAGGGGAAACGGCAUUGAGUGCUUGCACUCUUUGGACGUCGACCGGCGCACGGGUGAGUAACGCGCAUCCAACCUUCCCAUUACUGUGGGAUAACCUGCCGAAAGGCAGACUAAUACCGCAUAGUCUUCGAUGACGGCAUCAGAUUUGAAGUAAAGAUUUAUCGGUAAUGGAUGGGGAUGCGUCUGAUUAGCUUGUUGGCGGGGUAACGGCCCACCAAGGCUACGAUCAGUAGGGGUUCUGAGAGGAAGGUCCCCCACAUUGGAACUGAGACACGGUCCAAACUCCUACGGGAGGCAGCAGUGAGGAAUAUUGGUCAAUGGACGGAAGUCUGAACCAGCCAAGUAGCGUGCAGGAUGACGGCCCUAUGGGUUGUAAACUGCUUUUGUAUGGGGAUAAAGUUAGGGACGUGUCCCUAUUUGCAGGUACCAUACGAAUAAGGACCGGCUAAUUCCGUG
This 492-nucleotide ribosomal RNA is filed under the name uncultured bacterium. RNAcentral describes it as "partial 16S ribosomal RNA". It matches the Rfam family "Bacterial small subunit ribosomal RNA", at positions 28 to 507 of the family's 1533-position model. The record is from RNAcentral.